GGCAAACCCACCGCAAACCACACCCCAACCCUCCCCAGCCCCAGCCCCCCACUCCAAUCCAGCCCUUCAGAGACGAUCAGCUAAAAUCAGUGAUUGAGAACAUAUUGGAAAGAAGUGAGACACGGAAAGAAUGAAUCACAAAGAUGGCGCUGAUACUUGGGGUUCUCAAAGGCCAGAAACGCCCCCUUGGGAUGCAUCAGAGUACAGUCAACUCAUCUCUGCAGGGCCGUUGCUGCCACUACUAGAACAAUAUGCAGACAUUGGUUCUUAUGACCAAAACACUCUCAGGGGGCCCCCGUGGCAAGUUCAGUCACAAGGCGCUAACACUGACAAAUGUACGGGUAGCCAACUUCAACUAGCUAAUAUGGCUAAUCAAG
This is a long non-coding RNA of Triticum aestivum (bread wheat), 377 nucleotides long. RefSeq lists it as uncharacterized. Lineage: Eukaryota; Viridiplantae; Streptophyta; Magnoliopsida; Poales; Poaceae. The transcript has 3 exons. The record is from RefSeq and is a predicted model, not a curated record.